CGUUGCCUCAGGAGCUUCAACCAGGAGAGCCAUGCAGUCUUUUCACUCGGCCUUGUUCACGAUGGCGGAGUCAUCUGCGGCGGCCUGGGAAACAACCAGAUCUCAGUGUGGAGACACUCGGAUGCCACUCACCUUCUCACGUUGAGAAGCAAGCUUCACGCCGGUGCUGUCAAGUCGCUGCUUGUGGCUGGCGACAAGCUCUUCAGCGCUCACCAGGACAAGAAGAUCCGGGUGUGGCGGCUUUCCAAAUCCAACCACACGCAGCACACUCUCGUCGCGACGCUUCCAACUCUCAAGGACCUAGUAGCAGAAUCGACGUCAUCAAGGUUCUCGAGCAAAAAGAACAAGGCCGCAAGAUCAGUCCAACAUACCGACGUAGUGUCCGCGCUAGCUCUCGGCGACGGCGUCGUGUACUCGGCCUCCUGGGACAAGACUGUCAAGGUUUGGAGGCUGUCCGAUCUCAAAUGCAUCGAGUCGUUCGUGGCUCACGACGAUGCAGUCAAAGCUCUGGUGGCAAAAGCGGGAUUUCUCUACACAGCCUCUGCAGACUCAAAGAUCAAGAUCUGGAAAAGAGAAGCGAGCGACAAGAAAAGUAGUAAAACUUACCACAGGCACUUGUUGGCCAGAGUUCUUGAGCGUCCAGGCAAUUGCUCCAGCGCAGUGAAUGCAUUGGCACUGGGUGGCGAUGGAGGAGAUGACAAGGUUCUCUACGGCGGAUCCAGCGACUCAUCCAUCUCCGUGUGGGAAUUAAAUCCCGACAUGGAAGCCGUGAGCUUGAGUGGCCUUCUCAGCGGCCACACACAAGCAGUAGCUUGCCUGGCAACACUCCGCGAUCUCCUGUGUAGUGGCUCUGCCGAUAAAACCAUAAGAUUGUGGAGAAGAGAGCGAAAGCAAGGAUACUCACCAUCGCAUAUUUCCCUGUCCGUUGUCCAAGGCCACACCGGCCCCGUCAAAUCGAUCGUGCUCGCCCCCGACAGGAUCGGCCUGUGUAGCAUCACCAGUGGAAGCCUCGACGGCCAGGCCAAAAUGUGGAGAGUCUAUCCCUGCCAGGAGCGAGACGAAGAAGAGGAAGAAUCUCCCCAGUCAGAGCGCUUCUACUUCAAUAGCAGCGAUCCACUCACCGCGAGAAGCGAGGCGCAGCAGUGGAAGCUCAGCACGAUCAAGCACGCCCUAGACGAAGGCGGCCACUUCUUCCGCCUUGCAUUUGAUACUCUCCAAUGCUCAUAGCCAAGAACCCUAGUUUUUUUAAAUUCUAGGGUUCUUCCUUCUUUAAUGCAAGUGUAUACUACAGAUCAUCUCCUGAAAGCCC
This 1309-nucleotide long non-coding RNA is filed under the name Selaginella moellendorffii. Its description in RNAcentral is "long non-coding RNA (SMOE_LNC001897)". The record is from RNAcentral. Lineage: Eukaryota; Viridiplantae; Streptophyta; Lycopodiopsida; Selaginellales; Selaginellaceae.